Molecule: long non-coding RNA, 840 nt
Organism: Myotis daubentonii (Daubenton's bat)
Lineage: Eukaryota; Metazoa; Chordata; Mammalia; Chiroptera; Vespertilionidae
Source: RefSeq, a predicted model, not a curated record
UCAGCGGCCAGACCGCCGCCCCCACAGCCGCUCGGCCGGCUACUUCAGCAGCGACCCCGCUCAGCCCCGCCGCCCGCCCCUCCCCCGGUGCGGGCGAACGUGACCCCAACUCGGCUCACUGCAGGUUUCUGGUUCCCACCUGUCACCUUGCGAAGCGACCCCGUGAGUCCCGGGUAGGAAGCGCUGCCUGGUGCUAAAGACCAACAGAAACGACCCCAGGACCGCUGGACGCCUGCGCGGGGUCCCACUCUCCGCCCUGCACCCGCCGUGCCGACCCAGCAAGUGUCUUCCACAGGCAAGGGGGCUGGUGUCACAUUGUCACCCCGAAGCGCAGGGAGAAAACGACGGACAGCACACACACGAUCCAAUUUUUCUAUAUCUGUUACCAGCCUGUGUCUGUGUCAGCUCUACUAAAUAGUGAAAUUCUAUCAAGUGGGGAUAGUCUGGCUAACACAGAGCCAAGAACAAAGGCUGUUAACUAGUGGUAAUGUGACUGGUUACGUCAAAAAUAGAAAUAGAUGCUUUGUUUCCAUCACUGUUACCACCUCUCUGUUGGGAUUUACACUGCAGUCAACGCCUGGGACUUGGUGAAAGAGGGCCUCACUGACACCCUCCUCAGGCCCCACGCACACCCACAGAGCAGAUGGCAGGUGUCGAGCCUAGAUCGCCCCGGCCAUUUCCAGUCAAGCGCCCUCUCGGACUCCGUCCCGGCUUUGAUUUCAACUCUGUGCCUCCCUCUAAUUAAAAAUGCUAUUGUGUCAUGUUCCCUUUGGAAGAAAUCAAAUAUCCUACAAUGUCAUUGAUUUAUUCUUAAUUAAAAGGAAAAACCAUUUUAACUCA